This 72-nucleotide transfer RNA is filed under the name Phrynosoma platyrhinos (Desert horned lizard). RNAcentral's name for it is "tRNA-OTHER". Lineage: Eukaryota; Metazoa; Chordata; Lepidosauria; Squamata; Phrynosomatidae. The record is from RNAcentral.
AACAGUGUUGUGUAAUGGUUUGAGUGCUGGACUAUGACUCUGGAGACCAGGGUUCGAAUCCCAGCUCGGCCA